GACACUUUAGAGAUGAUUGCUUCUCCAGGCUUCGUGACUGUGGUACUCUUGCUGCUUGGACAAACCCAUGGAGACUCAGUGACCCAGACAGAAGGCCCAGUGACCCUCUCUGAAGAGGAGUCCCUGAUUAUUAAUUGUACUUAUUCAACAACAGGGUCCCCUACUCUUUUCUGGUAUGUCCAGUAUCCUGGAGAAGGUCUGCAGCUCCUCCUGAAAGGUGUGAGGGACAAUGAAAAGACCAGUCACAAAGGUUUUGAAGCCAUCCUACAAAAGAAUUCCCAAACUUUCCACUUGGAGAAGUCCUCAGUGCAAGCGUCAGAUUCAGCCGUGUACUACUGUGCCAUGAUUGACACAGUGACAGGGACUGCAGGGGGAGCUGAGCACAAACUCUGA
Non-coding RNA from Hyaena hyaena (striped hyena), 393 nucleotides. The record is from the annotation of a RefSeq genome assembly. Lineage: Eukaryota; Metazoa; Chordata; Mammalia; Carnivora; Hyaenidae.